GCUUGUCUCAAAGAUUAAGCCAUGCAUGUCUAAGUAUAAACAUCUUUAUACUGUGAAACUGCGUACAGCUCAUUAUAUCAGUUAUUAUUUAUUUGAUGGUAUCUUACUACAUGGUAUAACUGUGGUAAUUCUAGAGCUAAUACAUGCGUAAAAUCUCGACCUCACGGAAGGGAUGUAUUUAUUAGAUAAAAACCAAUGGUCCCUCGGGAUCUUUUAUGGUGACUCAUAGUAACUGUUCGAAUCGCAUGGCUUCGGCUGGCGAUAGUUCAUUCAAAUUUCUGCCCUAUCAGCUACCGACGGUAGUGUAGUGGACUACCGUGGCGUUAACGGGUAACGGGAAAUCAGGGUUUGACUCCGGAGAGGGAGCCUGAGAAACGGCUACCACAUCCAAGGAAGGCAGCAGG
RNAcentral lists this ribosomal RNA (404 nucleotides) under uncultured Marimonadida. RNAcentral describes it as "partial small subunit ribosomal RNA". It matches the Rfam family "Eukaryotic small subunit ribosomal RNA", at positions 30 to 432 of the family's 1831-position model. The record is from RNAcentral. Lineage: Eukaryota; Cercozoa; Imbricatea.